This 2900-nucleotide ribosomal RNA is filed under the name Klebsiella pneumoniae. RNAcentral's name for it is "bacterial LSU rRNA". It matches the Rfam family "Bacterial large subunit ribosomal RNA". Lineage: Bacteria; Pseudomonadati; Pseudomonadota; Gammaproteobacteria; Enterobacterales; Enterobacteriaceae. The record is from RNAcentral.
UUAAGCGACUAAGCGUACACGGUGGAUGCCCUGGCAGUCAGAGGCGAUGAAGGACGUGCUAAUCUGCGAAAAGCGUCGGUAAGGUGAUAUGAACCGUUACAACCGGCGAUGUCCGAAUGGGGAAACCCAGUGCAAUUCGUUGCACUAUCGUUAACUGAAUACAUAGGUUAACGAGGCGAACCGGGGGAACUGAAACAUCUAAGUACCCCGAGGAAAAGAAAUCAACCGAGAUUCCCCCAGUAGCGGCGAGCGAACGGGGAGCAGCCCAGAGUCUGAAUCAGCUUGUGUGUUAGUGGAACGGUCUGGAAAGUCCGACGGUACAGGGUGAUAGUCCCGUACACCAAAAUGCACAGGCUGUGAACUCGAAGAGUAGGGCGGGACACGUGGUAUCCUGUCUGAAUAUGGGGGGACCAUCCUCCAAGGCUAAAUACUCCUGACUGACCGAUAGUGAACCAGUACCGUGAGGGAAAGGCGAAAAGAACCCCGGCGAGGGGAGUGAAAAAGAACCUGAAACCGUGUACGUACAAGCAGUGGGAGCACCUUCGGGUGUGACUGCGUACCUUUUGUAUAAUGGGUCAGCGACUUAUAUUCUGUAGCAAGGUUAACCGUAUAGGGGAGCCGCAGGGAAACCGAGUCUUAACUGGGCGUUAAGUUGCAGGGUAUAGACCCGAAACCCGGUGAUCUAGCCAUGGGCAGGUUGAAGGUUGGGUAACACUAACUGGAGGACCGAACCGACUAAUGUUGAAAAAUUAGCGGAUGACUUGUGGCUGGGGGUGAAAGGCCAAUCAAACCGGGAGAUAGCUGGUUCUCCCCGAAAGCUAUUUAGGUAGCGCCUCGUGAACUCAUCUUCGGGGGUAGAGCACUGUUUCGGCUAGGGGGUCAUCCCGACUUACCAACCCGAUGCAAACUACGAAUACCGAAGAAUGUUAUCACGGGAGACACACGGCGGGUGCUAACGUCCGUCGUGAAGAGGGAAACAACCCAGACCGCCAGCUAAGGUCCCAAAGUCAUGGUUAAGUGGGAAACGAUGUGGGAAGGCACAGACAGCCAGGAUGUUGGCUUAGAAGCAGCCAUCAUUUAAAGAAAGCGUAAUAGCUCACUGGUCGAGUCGGCCUGCGCGGAAGAUGUAACGGGGCUAAACCAUGCACCGAAGCUGCGGCAGCGACACUAUGUGUUGUUGGGUAGGGGAGCGUUCUGUAAGCCUGCGAAGGUGUGCUGUGAGGCAUGCUGGAGGUAUCAGAAGUGCGAAUGCUGACAUAAGUAACGAUAAAGCGGGUGAAAAGCCCGCUCGCCGGAAGACCAAGGGUUCCUGUCCAACGUUAAUCGGGGCAGGGUGAGUCGACCCCUAAGGCGAGGCCGAAAGGCGUAGUCGAUGGGAAACAGGUUAAUAUUCCUGUACUUGGUGUUACUGCGAAGGGGGGACGGAGAAGGCUAUGUUAGCCGGGCGACGGUUGUCCCGGUUUAAGCAUGUAGGCUGAUUGUCCAGGCAAAUCCGGAUAAUCAAGGCUGAGGUGUGAUGACGAGGCACUACGGUGCUGAAGUAACAAAUGCCCUGCUUCCAGGAAAAGCCUCUAAGCAUCAGGUAACAUUAAAUCGUACCCCAAACCGACACAGGUGGUCAGGUAGAGAAUACCAAGGCGCUUGAGAGAACUCGGGUGAAGGAACUAGGCAAAAUGGUGCCGUAACUUCGGGAGAAGGCACGCUGGUGUGUAGGUGAAGUCCCUGCGGAUGGAGCUGAGACCAGUCGAAGAUACCAGCUGGCUGCAACUGUUUAUUAAAAACACAGCACUGUGCAAACACGAAAGUGGACGUAUACGGUGUGACGCCUGCCCGGUGCCGGAAGGUUAAUUGAUGGGGUUAUCCGUAAGGAGAAGCUCUUGAUCGAAGCCCCGGUAAACGGCGGCCGUAACUAUAACGGUCCUAAGGUAGCGAAAUUCCUUGUCGGGUAAGUUCCGACCUGCACGAAUGGCGUAAUGAUGGCCAGGCUGUCUCCACCCGAGACUCAGUGAAAUUGAACUCGCUGUGAAGAUGCAGUGUACCCGCGGCAAGACGGAAAGACCCCGUGAACCUUUACUAUAGCUUGACACUGAACAUUGAGCCUUGAUGUGUAGGAUAGGUGGGAGGCUUUGAAGCGUGGACGCCAGUCUGCGUGGAGCCAACCUUGAAAUACCACCCUUUAAUGUUUGAUGUUCUAACGUUGGCCCCUUACCGGGGUUGCGGACAGUGUCUGGUGGGUAGUUUGACUGGGGCGGUCUCCUCCCAAAGCGUAACGGAGGAGCACGAAGGUUAGCUAAUCCUGGUCGGACAUCAGGAGGUUAGUGCAAUGGCAUAAGCUAGCUUGACUGCGAGCGUGACGGCGCGAGCAGGUGCGAAAGCAGGUCAUAGUGAUCCGGUGGUUCUGAAUGGAAGGGCCAUCGCUCAACGGAUAAAAGGUACUCCGGGGAUAACAGGCUGAUACCGCCCAAGAGUUCAUAUCGACGGCGGUGUUUGGCACCUCGAUGUCGGCUCAUCACAUCCUGGGGCUGAAGUAGGUCCCAAGGGUAUGGCUGUUCGCCAUUUAAAGUGGUACGCGAGCUGGGUUUAGAACGUCGUGAGACAGUUCGGUCCCUAUCUGCCGUGGGCGCUGGAGAAUUGAGGGGGGCUGCUCCUAGUACGAGAGGACCGGAGUGGACGCAUCACUGGUGUUCGGGUUGUCAUGCCAAUGGCACUGCCCGGUAGCUAAAUGCGGAAGAGAUAAGUGCUGAAAGCAUCUAAGCACGAAACUUGCCCCGAGAUGAGUUCUCCCUGAGACUUUAAGUCUCCUGAAGGAACGUUGAAGACGACGACGUUGAUAGGCCGGGUGUGUAAGCGCAGCGAUGCGUUGAGCUAACCGGUACUAAUGAACCGUGAGGCUUAACCUU